RNAcentral lists this ribosomal RNA (409 nucleotides) under bacterium. Its description in RNAcentral is "partial 16S ribosomal RNA". It matches the Rfam family "Bacterial small subunit ribosomal RNA", at positions 355 to 776 of the family's 1533-position model. The record is from RNAcentral.
UGGGGAAUAUUGGACAAUGGGCGAAAGCCUGAUCCAGCAACGCCGCGUGAGGGAUGACGGCCUUCGGGUUGUAAACCUCUUUCAGUAGGGACGAAGCGCAAGUGACGGUACCUACAGAAGAAGCACCGGCCAACUACGUGCCAGCAGCCGCGGUAAUACGUAGGGUGCGAGCGUUGUCCGGAAUUAUUGGGCGUAAAGGGCUCGUAGGCGGUUUGUCGCGUCGGGAGUGAAAACUCAGGGCUUAACCCUGAGCCUGCUUCCGAUACGGGCAGACUAGAGGUAUGCAGGGGAGAACGGAAUUCCUGGUGUAGCGGUGAAAUGCGCAGAUAUCAGGAGGAACACCGGUGGCGAAGGCGGUUCUCUGGGCAUUACCUGACGCUGAGGAGCGAAAGUGUGGGGAGCGAACAGG